This is a long non-coding RNA of Exaiptasia diaphana, 261 nucleotides long. RefSeq lists it as uncharacterized. NCBI's taxonomy places the organism in Eukaryota, Metazoa, Cnidaria, Anthozoa, Actiniaria, Aiptasiidae. The record is from RefSeq and is a predicted model, not a curated record. The transcript is spliced from 3 exons.
AUCGCUAUGUGUUUUCAGCUCGGUGGAUUUAGGCUUCCUAUGGUAGUUGUUGGUGGCACUUUACUCGUGUUUUUACCUUUAAUUUGGAUACUUUUACCCAGACAAGACUACACCAAGACAAAGAAUGAGUGGCAAGGUCGUUUAAAGUUGUUCAAACGGGCGAUUUCCAUUCCAGAAGUCAUUAUAAUGUGCAUCUGUGGCUGUACCUGUGCUAUUUCAUUAACUUUCUUUGAGCCAACGUUACAGCCACAUGCAGAAAAG